Molecule: transfer RNA, 73 nt
Filed under: Bacteroidota bacterium
Lineage: Bacteria; Pseudomonadati; Bacteroidota
Also listed under: 2 other names
Description: tRNA-Phe
Rfam family: tRNA
About the family: Transfer RNA (tRNA) molecules are approximately 80 nucleotides in length.
Source: RNAcentral
GGCGUCGUAGCUCAGGCGGUAGAGCAGAGGACUGAAAAUCCUUGUGUCGGUGGUUCAACUCCACCCGAUGCCA